Non-coding RNA from Coturnix japonica (Japanese quail), 2239 nucleotides. The record is from RefSeq and is a predicted model, not a curated record. Lineage: Eukaryota; Metazoa; Chordata; Aves; Galliformes; Phasianidae.
UAUCCUACCUACACCUCCCCUCUUUUAGUUGGAAACCAUUUCCCCUCAUCCUGUCACAACAGCUCAUGCUAAGGAGUCCAUCCCCUUCUUCCUUACAGUCCCGCUUUAGAUACUGAAAGAAUAGCAUACAGCUGUGCAUGCACACCAACCAAUACCUAUGUCUUAGCAUCUCUAUGCAUAAUCACAUGUGUACACACAUACACAACAAACACAAGGUAUGCUCUUUAGCUAAAUGCAGAACCCAGUGCUGUACCCUUUCCUCCCUGUGCUUAAGGGUGUGAAAUGAAGCACAGGUGUUUAGAGUCACUUUUAUUACAUUAACAGCACCAGAAACAGCACAACCUCUUGCGGCUGCUUUGACACAGCCGUUAAUUUUCACUUGCAGCUGUGGCAAUUAGAAAGUGUACUUAAUAGAGUGUCAUGUUAAUUGUUGCAGAGUUAACCAAUUUCUCCAUUUAAUUGUCAAUUGAUUAACCUAUUGAAAUGGUAAGUGACUCAGUUUCCUUCCAGAACAAACAGCAGCUACAUAUUGUAGCUCCAUCCAGCUGGAGGGGGUACUCUGUGAUUUGCUCAGGCUCAGUGUGCUGGUAUUUUUCUACACCUCCCUGAGCUUUUAAUUAGAUGAGCCAAUUUUACAUGUAUUUGUCUGCUGGAAAGGUUAUCUGUGCUGGAGCUGACCUGCAGAGACAAGGUUGAGCCUAGCGGUCUUAAUAGAAAAGGUUUUCAGCUAUGACUGCCGUACUUGAUUGCAUUGUAAUGGUAAUUAACUUGAGACUUGGCCUCCCUCAAUGUUUUUUUGUAGCUUUAACUAUGCAAUGAGAUGUUUCCUCUGUCAUAUAUAUGCACUUAUUAAGCUCUCAUUGGAUUCUAAUAUGCAUGCAAAUAGUCAAGAGUUUCUUAAGGCUAAUACUACACUAUGUAGAUUGUAGUGCCAUUAAGUCACUACAAAGAUGUAGCCCGCAGCAAACUUAGAAGGCUCCUUUUCCUGUGAGUGUAGGCGAGGCUCGAGUUCUCAUUUUUGUGCUUUGCUUAAACCUAAAGGAGGAAGAAUUCCCUCUACGCAGUUUCGUUGCCUUUCAUCCGAGGGAUACUCCACGCGACAGCACGUUUUAAGGCUUUAUCCUUACAGAGCUAUCCCGAAAGUGCACUUGUGCUCUACAAGGAAGAUUGCAACGUUCUCAAUUCAGUAUUUCCAAGUCGGGACCGGUUGAGUACAGCUACUUUCAUAGGAGGAAGAAUGGGGGAAGAAAGCAAGCGAGCAAUAUACCUCCACCAGGGAGCACAGUGGAGGCACAGGGCUUGUAGGAGACCUGUCACGAAGCUUGACUCCUUCUGCUCACACAGGUUUGGCAUUUAAGCUAAUUUGUAAGCAUUUAGGGCCUGACUCUGAUCUCCCUUUCACUACUUGCUGGAGCUGUCAAAGCACUUCCCAACAGAAAUAAGGUAGGGACCUUGCCAGCUGGAUUUGGCCCUUUCUCCGCUCUUUUGUCCUGGUGGAUUUGAGCAUAAGUAAUUCUGACAAAACAAGGAGCCCCACAUCCUAGCAUGGGUUGUGGUGCUGAUAGUGGAGCAUCUUCAUGGAUGUGGAAUCCUUCCAGAUGGACUGCCCUCCACAAGGGGAAGGUUUACAUGCUUCUCUUUUUCUACCUGUAGGGCUCAGCUCAAGGCUUGUGGAUACCAAUGAGUCCACUUCUGUUUUCCUAGGGAGACACCAGCCCAAAUCACCACGAGCCAAAGACAGCACAGAAAUCCUAGUCAAUGAGGUCUACUCUAGUGAGUCUCAGGCUUGAGACUUGCAUGGUCCUGCUGAGGACCUCAUUUUCCAAGGGUGGCCAUGGCAGAUCUGUUGAUGGCAACUUGAACUUAUCUAUGGCAGUUAAGCAGUUCCAACUUUCAGGCUCAAACAUGGGUGUUCAAAGACUUUGUUCAUAUUCUCAUGACUGAUAGAGGACCUCUGUUUGGGUUGAUGCUGUAGUCUUUUAAGCACACUUUCCAGACAGCUGUAGGUCUCUGUUUUGAAAGCAGAGAUCCUUCUGCUGAGCCGAUCAUAUAUGUUCAAGAAGACAACGCUUUGAUGGACAUCAGCAUAUUGGUAAGCAUCAGUGAAGAAAGCCUCGUUGAUUUUUCUAUAGUUCUUCAAAGUUUGAAGCCAUUUGAUGAUCUGCUUGUUGGAUCUUUGUCCUCUUCAGUGAUUUUUAUAGCAUAUAACUCAAGAAUAAAAUGUACUUCCUGGGAAGCG